Molecule: ribosomal RNA, 1419 nt
Filed under: Mycobacterium tuberculosis
Lineage: Bacteria; Bacillati; Actinomycetota; Actinomycetes; Mycobacteriales; Mycobacteriaceae
Description: bacterial LSU rRNA
Rfam family: Bacterial large subunit ribosomal RNA
Source: RNAcentral
UUGUAAGUGUCUAAGGGCGCAUGGUGGAUGCCUUGGCAUCGAGAGCCGAUGAAGGACGUGGGAGGCUGCGAUAUGCCUCGGGGAGCUGUCAACCGAGCGUGGAUCCGAGGAUUUCCGAAUGGGGAAACCCAGCACGAGUGAUGUCGUGCUACCCGCAUCUGAAUAUAUAGGGUGCGGGAGGGAACGCGGGGAAGUGAAACAUCUCAGUACCCGUAGGAGGAGAAAACAAUUGUGAUUCCGCAAGUAGUGGCGAGCGAACGCGGAACAGGCUAAACCGCACGCAUGGGUAACCGGGUAGGGGUUGUGUGUGCGGGGUUGUGGGAGGAUAUGUCUCAGCGCUACCCGGCUGAGAGGCAGUCAGAAAGUGUCGUGGUUAGCGGAAGUGGCCUGGGAUGGUCUGCCGUAGACGGUGAGAGCCCGGUACGCGAAAACCCGGCACCUGCCUAGUAUCAAUUCCCGAGUAGCAGCGGGCCCGUGGAAUCCGCUGUGAAUCCGCCGGGACCACCCGGUAAGCCUAAAUACUCCUCGAUGACCGAUAGCGGAUUAGUACCGUGAGGGAAUGGUGAAAAGUACCCCGGGAGGGGAGUGAAAGAGUACCUGAAACCGUGUGCCUACAAUCCGUCAGAGCCUCCUUUUCCUCUCCGGAGGAGGGUGGUGAUGGCGUGCCUUUUGAAGAAUGAGCCUGCGAGUCAGGGACAUGUCGCAAGGUUAACCCGUGUGGGGUAGCCGCAGCGAAAGCGAGUCUGAAUAGGGCGACCCACACGCGCAUACGCGCGUGUGAAUAGUGGCGUGUUCUGGACCCGAAGCGGAGUGAUCUACCCAUGGCCAGGGUGAAGCGCGGGUAAGACCGCGUGGAGGCCCGAACCCACUUAGGUUGAAGACUGAGGGGAUGAGCUGUGGGUAGGGGUGAAAGGCCAAUCAAACUCCGUGAUAGCUGGUUCUCCCCGAAAUGCAUUUAGGUGCAGCGUUGCGUGGUUCACCGCGGAGGUAGAGCUACUGGAUGGCCGAUGGGCCCUACUAGGUUACUGACGUCAGCCAAACUCCGAAUGCCGUGGUGUAAAGCGUGGCAGUGAGACGGCGGGGGAUAAGCUCCGUACGUCGAAAGGGAAACAGCCCAGAUCGCCGGCUAAGGCCCCCAAGCGUGUGCUAAGUGGGAAAGGAUGUGCAGUCGCAAAGACAACCAGGAGGUUGGCUUAGAAGCAGCCACCCUUGAAAGAGUGCGUAAUAGCUCACUGGUCAAGUGAUUGUGCGCCGAUAAUGUAGCGGGGCUCAAGCACACCGCCGAAGCCGCGGCACAUCCACCUUGUGGUGGGUGUGGGUAGGGGAGCGUCCCUCAUUCAGCGAAGCCACCGGGUGACCGGUGGUGGAGGGUGGGGGAGUGAGAAUGCAGGCAUGAGUAGCGACAAGGCAAGUGAGAAC